GCUGCUUUCGUCUAGUGGUUAGGAUAACUCCUUUACAAAAAAAAUCCAACAUUUUCUAACGGAGUAGAUCGCAGGUUCGAUCCCUGCAAGUAGCA
Molecule: transfer RNA, 95 nt
Filed under: Ustilago hordei
Lineage: Eukaryota; Fungi; Basidiomycota; Ustilaginomycetes; Ustilaginales; Ustilaginaceae
Description: transfer RNA-Val(TAC)
Rfam family: tRNA
About the family: Transfer RNA (tRNA) molecules are approximately 80 nucleotides in length.
Source: RNAcentral